RNAcentral lists this long non-coding RNA (5209 nucleotides) under Sus scrofa (pig). RNAcentral's name for it is "lncRNA (ENSSSCG00035004606.1)". Lineage: Eukaryota; Metazoa; Chordata; Mammalia; Artiodactyla; Suidae. The record is from RNAcentral.
GGGCCACACCUGUGGUAUACGAAAGUUCCCAGGCUAGGGGUCUAAUCAGAGCUGCAGCUGCCGGCCUACACAACAGUCACAGGAACAUGGGAUUAGAGCUGCACUGUGACCUACACUGCAACUCAUGGCAACAUUGGAUCCUUAAUCCCCUAAGCAAGGCUAGGGAUCACCACCACAUCCUUGUGGAUACUCGUCCAGUUCAUAACUCACUCAGCCAUAACAGGAACUCCCUAUGUGUGUUUCUAUUUAGAGCCGUCUUAUUUAAUGUGUACUGUUGAUUCACAAACAUUAAACUCAUGACCAACAGCACUGUGACUCAUGUCUGGACAAAGCUUAUCUAACACACCUGUUUCUCCGCAAGGCACAUUCCAGCCUUCUUUGAAUUCAUGAAUACGGAAUCUGCAAAUAACGAAGACUGAAUUGAAUGUAUUGUUAGUUCCCCUGUUUUACAGGUGGGGAAAAGAAUAGGAAAAGGUUACAGGAACAGAGGGGAGGGAGAGGUGGGAAAGUGUGUAAGACCUUUUUUAAAGGGAACUUUAGUGGGUGUUUAAAAUCAGGAAGCCUUCCUAAUGCUGAACUUGUUUAAGGGAAGUUUCAGGGCCAUUGCUUGCUACUUUGCCUACUGCCAAGACAAAAAAAGACUGCUCAUCACUGUGCACUCAAGUCCACUGCCAGCUUUGCAAGAAUCUAAUCUAAGGAACUGGGCCAUAUCUUUAUGGCAGAAAUAAGAACCAACUAGCACUAAUAGACCACCCAUGUGCCCUGUGCAGUUUAAGGGUGGCAGAGUUAGCAUGACAUGCUGGUAGCCAUGUGACAGAGGCAGCUUUGAAAAAAUGUCAUCUUUGUGCCAACCAAGUUCUACUUUUAUAAUUAUGUACAGCAGUGUGGUUUCCCAAAGUAGUCGAGACAUGUUCGGCAGUGUCCUGUAAGGCAAUUCUCAUUAAUUUAGGUUCAAGUUUCUUAAUGUCAAUUGCGUGUUUAAAAAACAAACAAGCAAACAAAAACCCACGUGUCUGAAUAAGCCAGGACAUUUGCUUAGCCAAAUGAAGACCAUAAACCAAUAAUAAUGGCUUUACAUUUUCCAAGCCCCUUAAAGCUUUUGAGGGCUUUCCCUGUUCAUUCUUUUUCUUGAGGCAUCUGCUCUGAUUACGAAGCAGAAAAUCCAAAUGGCCAUUUCUUGAUAUUUUCCAUUCAGGGAGGACCUGACCCUUCCACCUGCACAUGUACAAUCAUUAUAUCAGCCUUUUGAUGUCUGCACACAGUCUUCUCAGGGGCUCAAAAGGAGUUUCUGUUGCCCCAGAGACAAACACUAUUCCCAUGCAUUUAUGCAAUCAGAUCCCACGGCUGCUUCCACUGACUCACUGAAGCUGGGACACAUGCAUUCAGCAUCUACUUAAAUAGCACUUAUUGCCAUAGUAGCUAGGCACUUGGACAAGUUGGCUAUUUUUGCAAGAAAGUAGAAAAACAAUGUAGAUGAAAUAAAAAGAGGUCGGCGCUAAGGCCUGUCAGCGAUCAUCUUCCUUGGCAAGCAGAGUGGGAGGGUUAGAAUAAGGUCAAAUUGUCCCCAAGAAAAGGCGUCAGUCAUCUGGAAUGUUUUUGUUAUCCCAGACAGAAAUAGGUCACCUCGGCACGCUCCAAGUUGGCCAAUUAGAGAAAAGUUCUUGUGAAGUCAGAAAGAAAGGGAGUCGAUGUUGAGCAGAAGUCCUCUCCCCUCCCGAAGGAGGCGGCCCAGACUUCCUGGAGGAGGUAAACACAUCCGAGCCUUUUACAGGAAGUCUACCUCCUUUAAGCAGGGUCAGCUUGCAGGUUGGUGACAGGCUGUGCAGUUCUUAUGCAAACCCUGGCUGCAUUUUAUCUCCACUAACCCUCAGCAAAAGAUGCUGAGAAAGAACCCAGGGCAGGAGAGCAGACAGAUUUUUGUCUACAUUGAGAAGGAUUCUUGGGCUCUGUCUGGUUCAGAGAGAGAAAUGGCAUGAGGUGGUGCCAUCUGCCUUGGGGUUGGGGAGGACCGGAAAAGAGCAGGGUGGUGUGUUGGGCUUAACAGACAUCUCCAGGCAUAAGCUUUGGGGUCAAAGGCACUGAACUCAAAUAGCCAACACCCUCCUGACCAGCUGUCUAAAGGCUAAUCACCUCUUUGAGAUGCAUUUCCUCUUUUACAUAGGAGGUAACAACCAUGCUCACAAGGGAUGUUUUGAGGAUCAAUGACAUAGGGUUUGGAAAGUGGUUGAUACAUCUGAAAACCAUGCACACAUUUUUAUGAUCUAUAAUGACGGCAAUAUCUUUCACGUAGAGCGUUUCUAUCUACUUCACCAUCUAGUUCAAGGAAUUCACCCUCCACGCCAGUUAACCACACCCUAUCCUUCAUCUCGAGCGUUGCCAUUUUGUGGUAAUAAAUACUGACAGAAAUAAAUUUGUUAUUGAGAGGACUUGGAUAUGAUUAUCAGGGUUUUCAAGAGUUUUCUCUGAGGGCAUUUUAAUAGGAUUGGACCUGUCUCAAAAUGAAGCAUGUUCUUCAUAGACACACUCAGAUAGGAAUAUACAUCUAAGUAUGCCUAACAGAAUUCUACAAUUGUGCAAAUAAUACUUUGUGUCCAUAGGAGAAAGGUUUGUACCUCCAUGUGCUUAGGAAAAUAAUAAAUUUUGCCAAGUGACAGAAAAGCAAACUUGGCAUUUUUGCAUCCACUGCAUAAGAAACCCAAGACUGACUUUAUAAAGGAACAUAACCAAGUCCUCUUCUCCUAUUGGUUUAAAAAAAAAAAAAUUCUAGGCUAAGAAUAUCUGUGAUAGGCAAAGAAAUGGUCACUGUUUAUUUGCAGCUAUUACAUACUGAGUAUAAUACAUAUUCAGAAGGAAGCAUAAAUCAAAUAUGAACUCAAUAACUAGUAGCAAUGUAUUUUACUGGUUUCCCUGAAGUGGUUUGUUAGAUUGGGUUUUGCGUGUGUAUAUAGAAGACUUUUGUUGUAGGAACAGGUAAUCACAAAAUGCCAGUAUUUUUUAUUGCUUUAUUAACUACCUUACAGAAGAGUUGCCAGAAACAGAGUCACAGACCUAGAGAAUAGACUUGUGGUUGCCAAAGGGGUGGAGGUUAGGAGGUGGGAGAUGGAUGGAUUUGGGAGUUUGGAGUUAGUAGAUGCAAACUGUUAUGUAUAAAUGGACCAACAACAAGGUCCUGUUGUGCAGCACAGGGAACUUGAUUCAAUAUCCUGUGAUAAACCAUAAUGGAAAAGAAUAUGAAAAAGAACCUAAAUAUGUGUGUAUAACUGAAUCACCCUGCUGUACAUCAGAAACCAACACAACGUUGUAAAUCAACUACAUUUCAAUAAAAUCCAUUUUUUAUAAAAAAAGGGGGAGGCUUGUAAGCCUCAGAGACUUUCUUGGUAAAUUGUAUCAUUCAUUUAUUCAAUAAAUAUUUAUGGUAAGUCCUGUAUAAGGUAAAAAGAUAAAAGCAGCCCAGUUCUUGCCCAUAAGAAACUCUUCGCAAGAGAAACAACACCUGACCAAUGCCUCAAAGGAUGUGUGAGAUGGGGCUACACGGAGACAAGGCACAGGAACAUAAACUUGCUUUUAAUUAGAAAACUCCUAUCAGAAGCUAAUGGUACAAAAACUACAGAGGGCGCCCACUGGCAGGAAAUACUUAAAAUGCGUAAACUGCUAAUAAACAGUUCUUUAAAAAAAUGGCACAUUAUCAGCUUCGACUCCAUCGAUCAUCUAGAAUACUUAUCCAGAGUUGAACCAAUACAAGCAAAUACACCUUUCAAGCCAAGAGGCCUUCUUUCUCAACACUUGCCAAACCCCUGGAUCCCCAAGGCACAUGAAGUCACACAGAGGCAGCUCAAGCUCACCGAGGAGCGACAAAGAAUUCUUCACAUCUACUUUGAGAUGUCAGCACUUUCGCCGUGAUAUUUCUUCUCUUUUCUUCUUUGUUGUUAAAUUUCUCUGCAAUCGCUUUCCCCGCUUGCUAUAAGCCCCCUCCCCAUUCCCAGGUGUAGUAUAUUAUUGCUGCCCUUUAAACUACACUGUGACCCCCCCUCACCCCCAUCCUAUUAUAAAUUGAUGCACUACUUAUGGACCAAAUUGGAAUUGUAUGUCCUCCUUUGGGGUUGAAGAUUAUUAAUUGUUCUUAGUGAAUGAAUGAUAAGACCACUGCAGAACCAGAGAGAUAUAAAAACGUACCCACAAUUAUGCCUAUAUUAUUAUGAUAAUUUAUAGACCUACAAUGAAAGGAAUAGGUCAGACCCAGAGUCCAUUAAUCACACAAAUUAUACAAGAGGCUACGCUGGGUCUUGGAUCUACAUGCAGGAGAGAGGUAAGUCUGGGAAUGUAAAAGUGGAAAGUCGUUUGCAGGGACAGAAGCAAUGCAGCCAGAUUUGAGCAUUACAGUGCCAUUACCUAAGCCAAGCUUUCUUUGUCCCCUGCAGAAAGGGAGUACUGCUACUGAAUACUUGAUAUCUUGCGGUACUUAGCUUGACCUCAUUUUGAGGUGACUUGAAGUAAGACUAUCCUAUCAGAUCAAAUAGAAGAGGGUUUCUGAACUGUAAUUAAUAGCAUAUCUGAAGGCCAAAAAAUAUACAUUUCCAGAAUCACAGCCACAGAAGCAUGUACCUUUGCCCUGUGUAGUCUCCAUCCAAUGUUAUGGGGAAUUCACCACAAGGUUGGGGUGAGCCAUGGCAUGUGAACUGACAUGACAUUAUUCUUUCGUAUACUCGCGGAUAUCCUGAACAAGAUAUGGUAUGAAAAAAAAAAAAUCAUCCAUCACCACAGCCCCAUAGGUUUUUCUAAAGUGCCUCAAAAUACAUUUUAUAAAGUUCGGCGAAAUCUUGCUCAUUCCAACCUUUAAUCAGAAACAGUCAUCGGCAGGGUUCCCCGGAAUGGAUUUUUUCUCUCUUACACCCUGGAAGAUGUCUGUGGAUCUUAUCUACAAGAGUGUGUGUGCUUCUAUGAUUUGCUUCUCGCGUCUUUGAAAAUAUCAUCCAUAUUUUAAUUUGCUCUCAUCUCGGAUAUGUUUCCACUCGACUUUCAAUGUGGACGGGUGUUCUUCUCAGCAGUUUCCGGAACACCCCAACCGCUGUCUCUCUCUCGGUGAAUUAAAAAGCCACAGUUUGCUGGGUUGUACUCCCAGCACAGACCUAGCAUUUUAAAAUUUGUGGGGUUUUUGGAGUGCAGAGAAAAUAUAAGCCAUAUGUUCUCUAGAGGAAAAAAAUUAGGGGAA